This 101-nucleotide transfer RNA is filed under the name Streptomyces hygroscopicus. RNAcentral's name for it is "tRNA-Arg". The record is from RNAcentral. Lineage: Bacteria; Bacillati; Actinomycetota; Actinomycetes; Kitasatosporales; Streptomycetaceae.
AGGGCCCGCUGCGGCGGUGACUUGGCCGCCGCGCUCAGCGGUCGCACGGCCCGUCGUCCGGCGGACGGGCCGUGCGCGGGCGCAGCGCACCGGGCCCUCCC